This 279-nucleotide unclassified non-coding RNA is filed under the name plant metagenome. Its description in RNAcentral is "partial contains small subunit ribosomal RNA, internal transcribed spacer 1, and 5.8S ribosomal RNA". The record is from RNAcentral.
UUUCCGUAGGUGAACCUGCGGAAGGAUCAUUACAGAGACAUAGCCAUGUGGGGUAGAACUCCAAUCGUUCGGUUACAUAACCGUCGGAGAUUUGGGAGGCCUGACUGUUGGCUACAGGCUAAGGCGGGUCCGCGCAAGGCAGAAGAAGCAAAAACUUGGAUUUUAGGUGUGGGCGGAGAAGAAUAAUAAUAGGUGAAAACUAACAAAAAAGGAUCACUUAGUUCUGGCAUCGAUGAAGAAGGUAGAAGAUCGGAAAAGGACAUGUAUGAAAAUCAGUAU